Molecule: transfer RNA, 55 nt
Filed under: Providencia stuartii
Lineage: Bacteria; Pseudomonadati; Pseudomonadota; Gammaproteobacteria; Enterobacterales; Morganellaceae
Description: tRNA-OTHER
Source: RNAcentral
GGGUCGUUAGCUCAGUCGGUAGAGCAGUUGAUUUCGAAUCCUGCACGACCCACCA